Molecule: unclassified non-coding RNA, 368 nt
Filed under: Athalia rosae (coleseed sawfly)
Lineage: Eukaryota; Metazoa; Arthropoda; Insecta; Hymenoptera; Athaliidae
Description: misc RNA ENSAEAG00005010053.1
Source: RNAcentral
CGCGCAACGUGGGUGUCAAAUCGAAUACAUAAUAAUUCUAUAUAAAAUCACCUCACUUACAUAAGGAUAUUAAAAUAUCUUGUUUAUAGAUCCUGUUCAAAUAUCACACAAUAUCGACACCGCGUGAUGACGUCAAAAGCUCCCAUGAUUAAUAUACGAUUAUUAGAUGUUAAUACUGUACAUGUCCGAUCGAGCUAUGGCUGCACUACUGCGAGAUGAAAGUCGGUGUUGCCUGAGACUGACGAGUUUUGCUGCAAGUUUCAGGAAUUUCAACUAACUUCUUUAGCGUCCCAUCAGAGCUGGGUGAGACAUUAUUGCAGCAUUGGAAACAAUCCCACGCUCGAAUCGCGUCUCUGAAGAUCAUCGAA